CGAAGAACCUUACCAGGCCUGACAUGCAGAGAACUUUCCAGAGAUGGAUUGGUGCCUUCGGGAACUCUGACACAGGUGCUGCAGGGCUGUCGUCAGCUCGUGUCGUGAGAUGUUGGGUUAAGUCCCGCAACGAGCGCAACCCUUGCCUUUAGUUGCCAGCAGUUCGGCUGGGCACUCUAAAGGGACUGCCGGUGUUAAACCGGAGGAAGGUGGGGAUGACGUCAAGUCCUCAUGGCCUUUAUGACCAGGGCUACACACGUACUACAAUGGCCGAUACAAAGGGCAGCGACACUGCGAGGUGAAGCCAAUCCCGUAAAAUCGGUCUCAGUCCGGAUUGGAGUCUGCAACUCGACUCCAUGAAGUUGGAAUCGCUAGUAAUCGUGGAUCAGCAUGCCACGGUGAAUACGUUCCCGGGCCUU
RNAcentral lists this ribosomal RNA (419 nucleotides) under uncultured Desulfobulbus sp. Its description in RNAcentral is "bacterial SSU rRNA". It matches the Rfam family "Bacterial small subunit ribosomal RNA", at positions 962 to 1382 of the family's 1533-position model. Lineage: Bacteria; Pseudomonadati; Thermodesulfobacteriota; Desulfobulbia; Desulfobulbales; Desulfobulbaceae. The record is from RNAcentral.